This 30-nucleotide non-coding RNA is filed under the name Mus musculus (house mouse). Lineage: Eukaryota; Metazoa; Chordata; Mammalia; Rodentia; Muridae. The record is from RNAcentral.
UGCCUCUCUUCAUGGGAAUGAAACCCUAUG